UGAACGCUGGCGGUAGGCCUAACACAUGCAAGUCGAACGGCAGCACAGUAAGAGCUUGCUCUUACGGGUGGCGAGUGGCGGACGGGUGAGGAAUACAUCGGAGUCUACUUUUUCGUGGGGGAUAACGUAGGGAAACUUACGCUAAUACCGCAUACGACCUACGGGGGAAAGCAGGGGAUCUUCGGACCUUGCGCGAUUGAAUGAGCCGAUGUCGGAUUAGCUAGUUGGCGGGGUAAAGGCCCACCAAGGCGACGAUCCGUAGCUGGUCUGAGAGGAUGAUCAGCCACACUGGAACUGAGACACGGUCCAGACUCCUACGGGAGGCAGCAGUGGGGAAUAUUGGACAAUGGGCGCAAGCCUGAUCCAGCCAUACCGCGUGGGUGAAGAAGGCCUUCGGGUUGUAAAGCCCUUUUGUUGGGAAAGAAAAGCAGCAGGUUAAUACCCCGCUGUUCUGACGGUACCCAAAGAAUAAGCACCGGCUAACUUCGUG
RNAcentral lists this ribosomal RNA (490 nucleotides) under uncultured bacterium. Its description in RNAcentral is "partial 16S ribosomal RNA". It matches the Rfam family "Bacterial small subunit ribosomal RNA", at positions 30 to 507 of the family's 1533-position model. The record is from RNAcentral.